UACGGAGGGUGCAAGCGUUAUCCGGAUUCACUGGGUUUAAAGGGUGCGUAGGUGGGCAAGUAAGUCAGUGGUGAAAUCUUCAAGCUUAACUUGGAAACUGCCAUUGAUACUAUUUAGCUUGAAUACUUUGGAGGUAAGCGGAAUAUGUCAUGUAGCGGUGAAAUGCUUAGAUAUGACAUAGAACACCAAUUGCGAAGGCAGCUGGCUACAGGAAUAUUGACACUGAGGCACGAAAGCGUGGGGAUCAAACAGG
This 253-nucleotide ribosomal RNA is filed under the name uncultured bacterium. RNAcentral describes it as "partial 16S ribosomal RNA". It matches the Rfam family "Bacterial small subunit ribosomal RNA", at positions 524 to 776 of the family's 1533-position model. The record is from RNAcentral.